GGAAGGGGUGUAUUUAUUAGAUAAAAAACCAAUGCCCUUCGGGGCUCCUUGGUGAUUCAUAAUAACUUAACGAAUCGCAUGGCCUUGCGCCGGCGAUGGUUCAUUCAAAUUUCUGCCCUAUCAACUUUCGAUGGUAGGAUAGUGGCCUACCAUGGUCUCAACGGGUAACGGGGAAUUAGGGUUCUAUUCCGGAGAGGGAGCCUGAGAAACGGCUACCACAUCCAAGGAAGGCAGCAGGCGCGCAAAUUACCCAAUCCCGAUACGGGGAGGUAGUGACAAUAAAUACUGAUACGGGGCUCUUUUGGGUCUCGUAAUUGGAAUGAGUACAAUCUAAAUCCCUUAACGAGGAACAAUUGGAGGGCAAGUCUGGUGCCAGCAGCCGCGGUAAUUCCAGCUCCAAUAGCGUAUAUUAAAGUUGUUGCCGUUAAAAAGCUCGUAGUUGAACCUUGGACCUGGCUGAUCUGUCCUCCUAAUCGAGCGCACGGAUUCGGUCGGGUCUUUCCUUCUGGCUAGCCCGAUGCCCUUCAUUGGGUGUCGUGGGGAACCAGGACUUUUAC
RNAcentral lists this ribosomal RNA (557 nucleotides) under uncultured fungus. RNAcentral describes it as "SSU rRNA". It matches the Rfam family "Eukaryotic small subunit ribosomal RNA", at positions 194 to 755 of the family's 1831-position model. Lineage: Eukaryota; Fungi. The record is from RNAcentral.